This 253-nucleotide ribosomal RNA is filed under the name uncultured bacterium. Its description in RNAcentral is "partial 16S ribosomal RNA". It matches the Rfam family "Bacterial small subunit ribosomal RNA", at positions 524 to 776 of the family's 1533-position model. The record is from RNAcentral.
UACGUAGGUGGCAAGCGUUGUCCGGAUUUACUGGGCGUAAAGGGCGUGCAGGCGGUUUGUUAAGUGCAGAGUGAAAGCUCCCGGCUCAACUGGGAGAGGUCUUUGCAUACUGGCAAACUCGAGGGAGGCAGAGGAAAGUGGAAUUCCUAGUGUAGAGGUGAAAUGCGCAGAUAUCAGGAGGAACACCGGUGGCGAAGGCGGGUCUCUGGGCCGAUACUGACGCUGAGGAGCGAAAGCGUGGGGAGCGAACAGG